Molecule: ribosomal RNA, 506 nt
Filed under: uncultured bacterium
Lineage: Bacteria
Description: partial 16S ribosomal RNA
Rfam family: Bacterial small subunit ribosomal RNA
Source: RNAcentral
AGUGAACGCUGGCGGCAGGCCUAAUACAUGCAAGUCGAACGGCAGCACAGCAGAGCUUGCUCUGUGGGUGGCGAGUGGCGGACGGGUGAGGAAUACGUGGGAAUCUGCCCAGUCGUGGGGGAUAACGGAGGGAAACUUACGCUAAUACCGCAUGCGCCCUUUGGGGGAAAGCCGGGGAUCUUCGGACCUGGCGCGAUUGGAUGAGCCCACGUCGGAUUAGCUAGUUGGAGGGGGAAAGGCCCACCAAGGCGACGAUCCGUAGCUGGUCUGAGAGGAUGAUCAGCCACACUGGAACUGAGACACGGUCCAGACUCCUACGGGAGGCAGCAGUAGGGAAUAUUGGACAAUGGGCGCAAGCCUGAUCCAGCCAUGCCGCGUGAGUGAAGAAGGCCCUCGGGUUGUAAAGCUCUUUUGUUGGGGAAGAAAAGCCUUGGGUUAAUACCCUGAGGUUCUGACGGUACCCAAAGAAUAAGCACCGGCUAACUUCGUGCCAGCAGCCGCCGUAA